UACGUAGGGGGCAAGCGUUGUCCGGAUUUACUGGGCGUAAAGCGCCUGUAGGCGGCCUGUCAAGUCCGGCCUGAAAGCCCCCCGCUCAACGGGGGAGGGUGGCUGGAAACUGGCAGGCUUGAGGGCGAGAGAGGAGGGUGGAAUUCCUGGUGUAGCGGUGAAAUGCGUAGAUAUCAGGAGGAACACCGGUGGCGAAGGCGGCCCUCUGGACGGUGACUGACGCUGAGACGCGAAAGCGUGGGGAGCAAACAGG
Molecule: ribosomal RNA, 253 nt
Filed under: uncultured bacterium
Lineage: Bacteria
Description: partial 16S ribosomal RNA
Rfam family: Bacterial small subunit ribosomal RNA
Source: RNAcentral